RNAcentral lists this non-coding RNA (213 nucleotides) under Clostridia bacterium. Its description in RNAcentral is "T-box sequence". It matches the Rfam family "T-box leader". From Rfam's summary of the family: Uncharged tRNA acts as the effector for transcription antitermination of genes in the T-box leader family. T-boxes are found upstream of many aminoacyl-tRNA synthetase genes and some amino acid biosynthetic genes usually in Gram-positive bacteria. Lineage: Bacteria; Bacillati; Bacillota; Clostridia. The record is from RNAcentral.
AAGUAAUCAUAGAUGGAGAGAGUAGAUUGUGAAAGGCUAUAAGAGAGGCGGCGCCACCGGCUGAGAGCGCACCGGCACCGAAGCAAUUGAAGUUCACUCCGGAGAUUCAAAGCUGAAGUGAGUAGGCUUUGACGGCUGAUACCGUUAUAUUUUGAGCGGUUUGCAAAUAUGCAAACAAGCAGGGUGGUACCGCGGAUAACCUUCGUCCCUUUU